GACGAACGCUGGCGGCGUGCCUAAUACAUGCAAGUUGAGCGAUGAAGAUUGGUGCUUGCACCAAUUUGAAGAGCAGCGAACGGGUGAGUAACGCGUGGGGAAUCUGCCUUUGAGCGGGGGACAACAUUUGGAAACGAAUGCUAAUACCGCAUAACAACUUUAAACAUAAGUUUUAAGUUUGAAAGAUGCAAUUGCAUCACUCAAAGAUGAUCCCGCGUUGUAUUAGCUAGUUGGUGAGGUAAAGGCUCACCAAGGCGAUGAUACAUAGCCGACCUGAGAGGGUGAUCGGCCAACUUGGGACUGAGACACGGCCCAAACUCCUACGGGAGGCAGCAGUAGGGAAUCUUCGGCAAUGGACGAAAGUCUGACCGAGCAACGCCGCGUGAGUGAAGAAGGUUUUCGGAUCGUAAAACUCGGUUGGUAGAGAAGAACGUUGGUGAGAGUGGAAAGCUCAUCAAGUGACGGUAACUACCCAGAAAGGGACGGCUAACUACGUG
RNAcentral lists this ribosomal RNA (497 nucleotides) under uncultured bacterium. RNAcentral's name for it is "partial 16S ribosomal RNA". It matches the Rfam family "Bacterial small subunit ribosomal RNA", at positions 28 to 507 of the family's 1533-position model. The record is from RNAcentral.